RNAcentral lists this long non-coding RNA (790 nucleotides) under Anas platyrhynchos platyrhynchos (common mallard). RNAcentral's name for it is "lncRNA (ENSAPLG00000024432.1)". Lineage: Eukaryota; Metazoa; Chordata; Aves; Anseriformes; Anatidae. The record is from RNAcentral.
CUUGGCAACUGCCCCAGAGCUCUGGCGUCACUUUGGCCUUGGUGCAGGAUUCCCCUGAUGCCAUCAUUUGUCUAGACACUGAAGAGAAGCAGAGUGAUGUGGUCAGACGAGGGCAAAUCCUAGUGGGAACAAGGAGCAGGAGCUCUUUAGAGGGACAAUGUUGCCGCUGAGAUACAAGUAAAACUAGCGUGUGCUGCAGUGGGUGAGAGGACAGGAAAAACAGUGGGGGCUCAACAAAAGCAGCGGAUGUAGCAGGUUCUUAGGCAAGGCCCCCACUGAUGAGAGCCUCUGGCUGUGGGCCAGGCUCAGGUGGCCACAGAAUGCUAACAGCACAGCUCCCAGCUGAACCGCAAGCCUCUGCCCCACCGUACCCAGCUCAGAGCAAAGCAGAAACUUGAAGCAGACACUGCUCCGCAAAAGCAGUGCCCCAAAAGAUGCUGGGGCAGGUGCCAUGGGCAAGGCUGUCUCCUUCUGGCCCUGCCAUCCUGCUGCUGGUGCUCUGUACCACAGUUGUGCUCCAGUGUAUUCUCCCUGUGGUGUCACAUGCAAGACGAAUCAUCUUCUGCAAGGAUGGGAUGGAGGCGUACAGCCAGAAAGCCCAUCAAGGGCAGCUGAGCUACUCCGUCGUCUUGAACAUCACAUCAAGAAACGCAGGAAGAUAUACAUGUGGGUACCAGCAGACUAAUAACAUGAAACACAUGAGGAGCUCUGCCCUCAGUGCUGGCCGCAACCUGGAUGUCCCAGGCAAUGUGGUGAGUUCCCAAGCAAGUCCAUCACCCCCAGGUGAGUG